UACGUAGGGGGCAAGCGUUGUCCGGAAUCAUUGGGCGUAAAGCGCGUGUAGGCGGUCCGGUAAGUCCGCUGUGAAAGUCGGGGGCUCAACCCUCGAAAGCCGGUGGAUACUGUCGGGCUCGAGUACGGAAGAGGCGAGUGGAAUUCCUGGUGUAGCGGUGAAAUGCGCAGAUAUCAGGAGGAACACCAAUUGCGAAGGCAGCUCGCUGGGACGUUACUGACGCUGAGACGCGAAAGCGUGGGGAGCAAACAGG
Molecule: ribosomal RNA, 253 nt
Filed under: uncultured bacterium
Lineage: Bacteria
Description: partial 16S ribosomal RNA
Rfam family: Bacterial small subunit ribosomal RNA
Source: RNAcentral